Molecule: ribosomal RNA, 387 nt
Filed under: uncultured bacterium
Lineage: Bacteria
Description: bacterial SSU rRNA
Rfam family: Bacterial small subunit ribosomal RNA
Source: RNAcentral
AUUGAACGCUGGCGGCAUGCUUUACACAUGCAAGUCGAACGGCAGCGCGGGGGCAACCCUGGCGGCGAGUGGCGAACGGGUGAGUAAUGCAUCGGAACGUAUCCUGUAAUGGGGGAUAACGUAGCGAAAGUUACGCUAAUACCGCAUACGCUCGAGAGAGGAAAGUGGGGAUCGCAAAGACCUCACGUUAUAGGAGCGGCCGAUGUCCGAUUAGCUAGUUGGUGGGGUAAAGGCCUACCAAGGCGACGAUCGGUAGCUGGUCUGAGAGGAUGAUCAGCCACACUGGGACUGAGACACGGCCCAGACUCCUACGGGAGGCAGCAGUGGGGAAUUUUGGACAAUGGCGAAAGCCUGAUCCAGCCAUGCCGCGUGCGGGAAGAAGGCCUC